This 492-nucleotide ribosomal RNA is filed under the name uncultured bacterium. RNAcentral describes it as "partial 16S ribosomal RNA". It matches the Rfam family "Bacterial small subunit ribosomal RNA", at positions 29 to 507 of the family's 1533-position model. The record is from RNAcentral.
AGUGAACGCUGGCGGUAUGCUUUACACAUGCAAGUCGAACGGCAACACACUUAGAGCUUCUGCCUACGGGUGGCGGGUGGCGUAAGGGAUCGGAAUGCACCGGGAUCUACUGUUUCGCGGGGCAUAACGUAGGGUAACUUCCGAUAAUACCUCAUACGACCAGCGGGGGAAAGCACGGGAAUUUUUGACCUUGCGCGUUUGAAUGAGCCGAUGUCGGAUUAGCUAGUUGGCGGGGUAAAGGCCCACCAAGGCGACGAUCCGUAGCUGGUCUGAGAGGAUGAUCAGCCACACUGGAACUGAGACACGGUCCAGACUCCUACGGGAGGCAGCAGUGGGGAAUAUUGGACAAUGGGCGCAAGCCUGAUCCAGCCAUGCCGCGUGGGUGAAGAAGGCCUUCGGGUUGUAAAGCCCUUUUGCUAGGAAAGAAAAGCAGCAGGUUAAUACCGCGCGGUUCUGACGGUACCCGAAGAAUAAGCACCGGCUAACUUCGUG